UCUUGAAGAAGAACCAAAGCCCUUACUGCAGCCUUUCUUUUCCCUGCGUUGGAUGAAGGAAGGGAAGGGGAGGAGGCCGCCAAGGCUUCUUCUUCUUUUCUUCUUGCUUGCGGAUGAAACAAGGAGAGGGGAGAGGGUGGCUACGGCUGGGAGGAGAGGAGAUCAAUGCUUAGGGCGUCAGCCCCCUUUUCACCUCUUUAUAAAGCAUCUAGGGCUCCUACAACUUAGGAGCCCUAGACUAGUUUCCUAAGAGGGGGCGCCGGCCCCCUCUCUUCAUGCCGCACCAAGGAAGCAAAAAGGGGAGGGGCUUGCGCCCCUCCCUCUUGGUAAACCCUAAUCCACAUUUAGUAGGGUUUGGAAUGCCCUAAUGUGGUCAAGCCCAAAUCCAAUUAGGCGUAGCCUAAGGGUGAACCAAUUUGGAUCCAAUCUAGGUAAGUCCUAAUCCAAUUAGAACUUAAAUCAAUUUUGACUCAAUUGAACUCUUCAAUCCUAAUCCAAUUAGGAGUCUUAUUGAUUUAUUAGAUUAAUAAUUAAUUGUGACUUAAGAAAU
This 550-nucleotide long non-coding RNA is filed under the name Phoenix dactylifera (date palm). RNAcentral's name for it is "long non-coding RNA (PDAC_LNC017072)". Lineage: Eukaryota; Viridiplantae; Streptophyta; Magnoliopsida; Arecales; Arecaceae. The record is from RNAcentral.